Molecule: long non-coding RNA, 343 nt
Organism: Mauremys reevesii (Reeves's turtle)
Lineage: Eukaryota; Metazoa; Chordata; Testudines; Geoemydidae
Exons: 3
Source: RefSeq, a predicted model, not a curated record
GCAUGGUUUGUAUGUCCUGUCACAGGGCCCCACAGCUUUGGCAUUUGCUCCCCAUUCUAGUCUGAAAUAGGGAAUGUGUGAUGACCAUCAGGGUAUGGUGCUAAACUCAUCUUGUUCCCUAGGGAUGGCAUUUUGUCCCACAAACAGAAUAGAAGCAAAAGAAAGAACCAGCUUUAUAUCUGAUGGAAACAAACAAAAAGUUCUUGACACUACAGCAGGUGAAUGGAGAGUUUCACAGAAGCCUUCCAGUGAUUGGUCCCUUCUUGGGCCUCAAUAAACUUCAUUUGAACACACUGGCAAAAUAUAUUUUAUUGUUGCAAAUACCCAUGAAUUGAAAGGACAC